RNAcentral lists this ribosomal RNA (623 nucleotides) under Lavigeria smithi. RNAcentral describes it as "partial 16S ribosomal RNA". The stretch from base 171 to 422 matches the Rfam family "Archaeal large subunit ribosomal RNA", at positions 1787 to 2143 of the family's 2987-position model. The record is from RNAcentral. Lineage: Eukaryota; Metazoa; Mollusca; Gastropoda; Thiaridae.
GUUUGUUACAAAAUAGCUUAACAUUUAAGUUAAAAUAAAACUACUUUAUCCCCAUUUAAAAUGAAGAUAAAAUUUUUAACCAGCUUUUAUUUAUGCCUAUGCUAGGAUGAGUAUCAAAAUUUUUCUCAAAGCUUAUACUAUUAUAUUCAUAAGUUAUUGAUAAAUAUUAAAAAUAUUAAUUAAAAAAAAGGAACUCGGCAAAUUGUGUCACUUCGCCUGUUUAUCAAAAACAUGGUUCCUCGAUUGAUAAAAAUGAUGAAUCGGACCUGCCCAGUGAAAAUUUAACGGCCGCGGUACUCUGACCGUGCAAAGGUAGCAUAAUCAUUUGCCUUAUAAUUGAAGGCUAGUAUGAAUGGUUUGACGUGGGUGACGCUGUCUCUUUUAUAUUUUUUAUAAAUUAACCUUUAGGUGAAAAGGCCUAAAUUUAAUUAAAGGACAAGAAGACCCUGUCGAGCUUAAAAGUUUAAAAAGAAAUCAUUAUUAAUAAAAUUUAUCUCUUUUAUAACUUUUUAGUUGGGGCGACUAAGGAACAAAUAAAGCUUCUUCCACCAAAACAGCCAAUGAGCCAAGAUCCAGUUUACUGAGCAAGAAAAUUAGUUACCGCAGGGAUAACAGCAUAAUCU